GCUGGCUUCACCGUGGUGCCUAGAUAAGGGCUUAGAAAUGUAAAAAGGCCUGUGGGGAGGGGAUUGGUGUUGGCAAUACCAAGAAGCUUUUUUUGGGGCAGUUUGUCUCUAACAUUCCAGCCUUUUAAUAGGUGCCAGGUGGAGGUGGAUUGCUAGGAGGUUUCCGUGUGGAGCUGCGGCCCCAUGGGCCUGCAGGGCCCCAGAUGACAGAGGAAUCAAGAAGAAAAUUGAAGGUCUGAUGGAAAGUGGUCCUUGGUUAGUGAAGUUGCAUUAGGCAGAUAAUGGCAUAGAUGGAAAAGGAAGAGAAGGAGAAAAUGGUUUAUUGGAAUUCAUUCAAACUUUAACAUGCCUGAUCAAAUACUCUGCCUACUUAAGGGAAAUUGACCUUGGAAACAAUGUUCUGGGAGAAAUGGCUGCUGCUAACAUACUUGAAGCGCUGAGAGCCAGAAAGACAGGUAAACUACCGGUCUUAAAAAUUACAGUCACUCCCCAGAUCUCUUCAGAUACCUUCAGAUCAAUUUGGAAAAAUAGCAAGAAGUCUAACACUAUGCAUAAAAAGAAGAAAAAGGUAAGUUCUUGGACGUCUGUGUCAGUGAGGAGCAGCCACCAGGGAGUGCUGUGUGGAGCCUGGGCCCUUGGGGCAGACAGCACCAUCAGCUGCAGGUUUUGCAUUUGAUUAUAUGAGAAUUUAGGUUCUAGGUCACGCUCCCCUAAACCAUCAUUCCAAUCUGAUGGAUGAUGAUUGAACCAAGAGACAAGUAAGUAAGAGAACAACAGUUUCCUCAAAGAUUGGCACAGACUGGGCCUCCCCUCUUUAAUUCCCACCCCUACCCAAAUCCUAGUUGCUGCUAGCCUAUUGUGGAUCUGAAAAGAUAAAUUUACUUUUAAAUUUACCUAAACUCUUUAUGAAGGCUGUGCUACCUCUUAGGAGGUAAUGCUUUAUAUAUGUUUAUUCUCUACUGUAAGAAGUUGAACUCCCUUUUUUCUAUAAUUUAUGAUUGCCUGUUUAUUAUUUCACAGACUAAAAACUGAAUAUAGGUGCUAUAUUUCCAUAUGGAUGUCAUCUAUUUCCAUGGCCAAGCAGAUACACCCGGAUAGAUAUUGCUUAUUCUAUAGUAAUAUUUUUCACUGUAACCAAGUCCCUUUGAAGUUCUCAAAUUUGAUGAUUAUUGUAUGAAAGUUUAAAGUCAUGUGAUAAUCCUGUCUUGUGAUGAUCCCAUCACACUUGUCAUUUUCUAAAAUGUGGGUUUCACAAGUAGGCCUUAGUAAAAAAAGACGCAAUUCUCUGAGGCUUCAUCUCUCCUGCAUAUGAAAUUUAUAAGUUGAAGGAAAUCAUACUUUUAUCUAAAAAAGAAAGAAUCCUCUUUCAUAAAUAUACCUAUAGUUGGGAACAAUAAGAAUGCUUGGAAAUAAUAACCACUUCCUAAAAGACACCAUCCCUAAAAAUGAGGAUCCUCCCUAAAUGAGGAAACUUUUUUUUUUUUAAGACAGGGUCUUGCUCUGUUGCCCAGGCUGGAGUGCAGUGGCGCAGUCUUGGCUCACUGCAACCUCUGCCUCCUAGGUUCAAGUGAUUCUCCUGCCUCAGCCUUCUGAGUAGCUGGGAUUAUAGGCGCGCACCACCAUGCCCAGCUGAUUUUUUGUAUUAUUAGUAGAGACAGGGUUUCACCAUGUUGGCCAGGCUGGUGUCGAACUCCUGACCUCAGGUGAUCCACCUGCCUUGGCCUCCCAAAGUGCUGGGAUUACAGGCGUGAGCCACAGCUCCCAGCCAAAUGAGGAAACUUUUAAUUCCUCUGCCCCACCCUGAAGAUGCCACAUAGCCCCGUGAGAAAUGGAAGAGGUGUGGUUGAUUGAUAUACAGAUGACAGUGGGUGAGUUGAGUUUUAUAUGCCACAACAAUUAUGGUGCAGGAUGAAGAGCAUGGCCUAGGCAGUUAGAUGAACCAGAAGUCUCUAUGGAGGAACUGCCGCUUUCCAGGUACUGAGCCUGGGCAAGUCAGUUCACCUCAUGCUCCUCAGUUUCCUCUUAUGUAAGACAUAGUUAAGAGUAGCAGGGCUGGGUGCAAUGGCUCAUGCCUGUAAUCCCAGCAAUUUGGGAGGCUGAGACAAAAGGAUCGCUUGAAGCCAGGACUUCAAGACCAGCCUGAGCAACAUAGUGAGACCCCCUAUCUCUACAAAAAAUUUAAAAAUUAGCCAGCUGUGGUGGCAUGUGCCCGUAGGCCUCGCUAUUUGAGAGGCUGAGGCAGGAGGAUUGCUUAAGCCCAGGAGGAUAACACUUCAGUGAGCUAUAAUUGCACCACUGCACUCCAGUCUGGGUGAGGAAGUGAGACCCUAUCUCAAAAAAAAAAAAAAAAAGAGUAGCGCCUAUCUCAAUUGGUGAGCAUUGAAUGAGACCACACAUGUCAAGCAUUUUAGAACAAUGAGAACAAUGCCUUGUUCAUAUUAUACACUCAAAAAUAAAUAUGAGUGGCUCUUAUUAUUGCUGCUGUUAUUGUGGAUGUUAGAAUUGAGUGGUGCCAGUUAUUUCAUCUAUGACAACCACACAAGAAACAUAGGAAAGAAAUGAAAAAAAGAAGACUGAAGACCUCUUCACUUUGAAGUAAAAAUAAAAAACGAAAACUUCAUUCAUUCUAUCUACAAAUUUAACAAGUGCUAGCAAGUUUCUGGAAUCAAACUAACUGUAGGGUAAGAAUGGUAUAGUAAAUUAGCUCCACUCUCCAGGGUCUUAGGAUCUAGCUAAGAAGACAAGAUCUUCGGCCAGGCACGGUGGCUCACGCCUGUAAUCCCAGCAUUUUGGGAGGCCGAGGCGGGUGGAUCACCUGAGGUCAAGAGUUCAACACCAUCCUGGCCAACAUGGUGAAUCCCUGUCCCUACUAAUAAUACAAAAAUUAGCCAGGCGUGGUGGCACAUGCCUGUAAUACCAGCUACUCGGGAGGCUUAGGCAGGAGAAUCACUUGAACCCGGGAGGCGGAAGUUGCAGUGAGCUGAGAUCACGCCAUUGCACUCCAGCCUGGGUGACUAUAGCAAAACUCCGUCUCCAAAAAAAAAAAAAAAAAAGACAAGAUUUUCUUGCAUUAAAAGUGAACAACAAUAAAGUAUAUGACUUGGAAAAAUAUGUGUCAUUAAGCAGGAUAAGAAAGGCCAUAGAGUAACAAGAUCAAUGUAACAAAUUUACCAGAACUGAUGUAUCCAAUAUGUGAGAGCUCCUGAGAACUGUUCCUGCUUAAAAGAAAUGAAAAUAGACUGGGUGGGCACCGUGGCUCACGCCUGUAAUCCCAGCACUUUGGGAGGCCGAGGUGGGCCGAUCACGAGGUCAGGAGAUCGAGACCAUCUUGGCCAACAUGGUGAAACCCCAUCUCUACUAAAAAUACAAAAACUAGCUGGUCGUGGUGGCCCAUGCCUGUAAUCUCAGCUACUCAGGAGGCUGAGGCAGGAGAACAGCUUGAACCAGGGAGUUGGAAGUUGCAGUGAGCUGAGAUCAUGCCACUGCACUCCAGCCUGGCAAAAGAGUGAGACUCCGUCAAAAAAAAAAAAAAAAAUGAAAAUAAAAGUCAAAAAGACCUUUUUUGAAAUUUGCCACACGUAUCCACUGGGUAGGAGUGUAAAAUCAGAAUACCCCUUUAGCGGGUCUUUUGGCAGUGUUUAUUAAAAUGAAAAAUACAUAGCUUUUGACUCGGCCAUUCUACUUUUAGAAAUUUGUUUACUGUCACAUGUGUGCAAGGAAAUAUGUAUGAGGAUGUUCACUGCAGCACUCUUUAUUUUACGUGGGAAAUAACUAAAUUUUUCUCAAAGAGUUUCAGGGGAAUAAAUCACAGUAAAUGUGUGUGGUAGAAUACUAUGCAGUCAUUGAAAGAAUAAUGUGGAUACAUAAGUGCUUAUAUGGAAAAGUAUCCAAGUAACACCAUUUUUAAAAACAGGUGAGAGAAUAGUAUAUGUGAAAAAUUCAUACAAAAAUGAAUUGACAUAGUAUAAUCCAGCAAUUUCACUUGUGUGUAUACAUCUAAAAGAAUUGAAUGUAGCGUCAUUAAGAGAUAUUUGAACACCAUGUUCAAAGCAGCAUCAUUUACAAUAAAUCAAAGGUGGAAGUAACCCAAAUGUCCAUGGAGAGAUGACUGGAUAAAUUAAAUGUGAUAUAUACAUAAAAUGGAAUAUUACUCGGCCUUAAAAACGAAGGAAAUUCUGACACAUGCUACGACAUGGAUAAACCUUUAAGGAUAUUAUGCUAAGUGAAUAAGUCAGUCACAAAAAGACAAAUACUGCAUGCCUCCACUUAGAUACUUACAGUAGUCAAAAUCAGAGACAGAAAGUAGAAUGGUGGUUGGGAGUACGUGUGAGGAGGGAGUUAUUGUUUAAUAGGUACAGAGUUUCAGUUUUGCAAGAUGAAAAAGUUCUGGAGAUUGUUUGCACAACACUGUGAACAUACUAAACACUCCUGAACUGUACACUUAAAAUGGUUAAGAUGGUAAGUGUUACGCAAAUUUUACCACAAUUUAAAAAAAUUUUAAAUUGAUGCAUUGUGUGUCUGCUUGUGCAUAUACAGGAAUUUCUGGAGAGUCUAUUAAUGGUACUUGGGUUUUUAUUGUAUUCCUGUUUCACUGUUUUUAUCAUUUGUGAGCUGUCAAUUUUUAAAAACUUAAAAUUGUUCAAUAAAUUAUGAUGAGCUUGUUAAACAUCUGUAACAGCGCCCUUUGCUUGCUGUGUGACCUGGUGCCAAAAGUGUAGAAGAAGCACAGUAAAUGCUGUGAUUUCCUGGGAGGACAUGAAUAUGUGGUGGCAAAGAGUGGCCAGUGAGAACAGAAAGAUGAGUACAUUUUUUCUAAGCACAGAGGGCAAUCCAGCUGAAGAAGGUAGGGGAAGUUCUAUCCAAUUUCAGAGAUGUUAACAUGUGAGGAAAAGACCAUCCAUGGUACACUUGGAUGACUGUGCAGACCAGUCUCACGAGGAUCCUGCAGAGGGGUGCCGGGGAUGGCCUUGACAGGUAGGUUGGGGCCAUAUUGUGGUGGGACUUAAAUGAACAAUCAGGACAUUUAGAUUUUGUUCUGAUGAUAAUGUGGAGCUUUGGAACAUUUUGAGCAGGAGAGUGUCAGGAGGUAGGAAAAUUAACCAGGCAUGUUAGAUUGAAUGGCAGUUAGACUGGGGAGGAAAGGCAGGGAAGAAGUCAAUACACUGUAAUCCAGAAGCAGGGUGAUGAGGUUAAGCUCCACAAUAGGAAAUGGAAAGUUUGGUUGAUUCUAGAAAUUUCUAAAGAAAGAAUGAACAGAUAAUUACGUAUGAAGGGCGAGGAAGGGAAAGAGUCAACAGUGACCGUGGUUUCAGACCAGGACAGUUAUACCUACGAGAGAAUUACAUCUCAGGCAGAGAAAGGGAAUUGUUGAAAGAAAGCUAAAUUUUGCAAGAAAGGAAAUGAACUCCCUUUCACCUGUCAAGUUUGAAGCAACAAUGAGCCAUUCAAGCCGAUGUCACCAAUAUCUAAUAGAAAAAACUCAGCAAAUUUCAAAAAAGAGACAAAAGCAUACACACAGUGCUAUACUCAUCCGCACCUGCAGCUCAAGAAGAUUCAAUGUGGAGCAAUUUUAGACAAAUGGAUUAAAAUCAAUCCCCAAAACUCUACUUUCUCAGGAAAGUCACCAGGUUUCUAAAGAAGGCAUCAUGAGAUUUAGGCAUGGGUUUUUCUAUUUCAUUUUUCAUCUAUUCUGAAAUAUUCUACAUCACUUCUUUUUUUACAUCCGAAAUUGAUUUACGUCACACAAUUGAUGAUUGAUGUCUACAAUUAAUGAAAUAUAAUGUUGGGAGGAUUUAAGGAAUUCUCCAACAAAGGCUGAUUGCCUUGGUCACAUGUACGCUUUCAGUAUGGGGUGUGUGUGUGUGUGUGUGUGUGUUGGGGGAGUGGGGUGGCAGGACUAAUGAUUUCCGGCCAUAGCACCUUCACCUAAGACCAAGAGAGGCAAAUGAACUGGAGGGUUCCAUGUGACCAAAGAAGACCAGAAAAUGCUCAGGGACCUAUGGACAUAAACACAAUUAUUUCCAAGAAAAAAGAUGAGCCAUAACUCUUGUCUGACAAGUGUGAUGGAGAGCAGACUUGCUUAGAAGGACAUUCCCAGGAGGAGGCAGCUUAUACAUUUCGGGCUAGCUUUGAUCUCUAGCCUCUAGGAACAAUUUUCUUGCUUUGUCAUUAUGGUUCCAAACAUUGGUCCUUUUGGGGAAACUACUCCAGCUCAACAAGCAAAUGUCAUCAGGUUUGUUUUUGUUUUUAUUUCUUUCCCUAGUACAGGAAAGAAGUCCAGAAUAUGCCACUAUAGCAUAAGGAUUAUUUUGAGCUAAAGGCAUUUGAGAAUCAGUGGAUGCAGGAAGAGUUGUUUUAUUUUAUUUUAAUUUUUUCCCUGAACUUACUUGCCUCUCAAAAGAAUUCAACUGUCUUAAAUUCCUUCCCAGCAAUUUCAAAACCAGGGAAGAUUGACCCUAUCUUUAGAAACAGGAAGUUGGUACUGGGAUAAUAAAUCACCUAAUAGACUUUGUCACAAAACUAUCAUAUCUCCCAUCUAUUCUCCCAAAGGCCUGUUUAUCUUUUCUGAAAGUUUUUUCCCAGAAGUGCCCUUUCUCCUUCUCCCUUUCCUUUAUUUAGACAGUAUAUAAGCCCCAAAUUCUAAUUGCUCCUUGAGUCAUAAUUUUCUGUGAACUCUG
RNAcentral lists this long non-coding RNA (6677 nucleotides) under Homo sapiens (human). RNAcentral describes it as "HSALNT0061396". Lineage: Eukaryota; Metazoa; Chordata; Mammalia; Primates; Hominidae. The record is from RNAcentral.